This 466-nucleotide ribosomal RNA is filed under the name uncultured beta proteobacterium. RNAcentral describes it as "bacterial SSU rRNA". It matches the Rfam family "Bacterial small subunit ribosomal RNA", at positions 8 to 477 of the family's 1533-position model. Lineage: Bacteria; Pseudomonadati; Pseudomonadota; Betaproteobacteria. The record is from RNAcentral.
AGAGUUUGAUCCUGGCUCAGAUUGAACGCUGGCGGCAUGCCUUACACAUGCAAGUCGAACGGCAGCACGGGGGCAACCCUGGUGGCGAGUGGCGAACGGGUGAGUAAUACAUCGGAACGUGCCCUGAAGUGGGGGAUAACGUAGCGAAAGUUACGCUAAUACCGCAUAUUCUGUGAGCAGGAAAGCAGGGGAUCUUCGGACCUUGUGCUUUAGGAGCGGCCGAUGUCGGAUUAGCUAGUUGGUGAGGUAAAGGCUCACCAAGGCGACGAUCCGUAGCGGGUCUGAGAGGAUGAUCCGCCACACUGGGACUGAGACACGGCCCAGACUCCUACGGGAGGCAGCAGUGGGGAAUUUUGGACAAUGGGCGCAAGCCUGAUCCAACCAUGCCGCGUGAGUGAAGAAGGCCUUCGGGUUGUAAAGCUCUUUCGGUUGGGAGAGAAAUUGCACUGGUUAAUACUCUAGUGUA